AACGAACGCUGGCGGCAUGCCUAACACAUGCAAGUCGAACGAGACCUUCGGGUCUAGUGGCGCACGGGUGCGUAACGCGUGGGAACCUGCCCUUAGGUUCGGAAUAACUCCCCGACAGGGGUGCUAAUACCGGAUAAUGUCUUCGGACCAAAGAUUUAUCGCCUUUGGAUGGGCCCGCGUUGGAUUAGCUAGUUGGUAGGGUAAAAGCCUACCAAGGCGACGAUCCAUAGCUGGUCUGAGAGGAUGAUCAGCCACACUGGGGCUGAGACACGGCCCAGACUCCUACGGGAGGCAGCAGUGGGGAAUAUUGGACAAUGGGCGAAAGCCUGAUCCAGCAAGGCCGCGUGAGUGAUGAAGGCCUUAGGGUUGUAAAGCUCUUUUACCCGGGAUGAUAAUGACAGUACCGGGAGAAUAAGCUCCGGCUAACUCCGUG
This 433-nucleotide ribosomal RNA is filed under the name uncultured bacterium. RNAcentral describes it as "partial 16S ribosomal RNA". It matches the Rfam family "Bacterial small subunit ribosomal RNA", at positions 29 to 507 of the family's 1533-position model. The record is from RNAcentral.